This is a long non-coding RNA of Austrofundulus limnaeus, 450 nucleotides long. RefSeq lists it as uncharacterized. The record is from RefSeq and is a predicted model, not a curated record. Lineage: Eukaryota; Metazoa; Chordata; Actinopteri; Cyprinodontiformes; Rivulidae. The transcript has 4 exons.
UUUAUAAUGCUUUUUUAUUGGCAUUUAGAUCAAAUAUGGAGAGAAAAUGGGAGGAGAUCUUUAACCUUCUUUCUGAAGGUUCCUACCCAUCAAAAUUYACAAGGGGGCAAAGGCAAAGUCUCAGGAAGUUUGCCUCAAAAUUUAGCAUUCAUGCUGGGAACCUGUUCUUUGGAGCCUUGCUUCACAGGAGGGCCAUAAAAUGAAGAGAGGAGAUAUGGAACCUUUUCAAGGAACUUCAUGCUUCACCAAUGGGAGGACACACUGGAAUUGUGAAAACUCUCAACUCCAUGUGUUCCAGAUUUUAUUGGCCUGGCAUGACAGCAGACAUAGAAAAAUGGGUGUCUGAACGUGACAAGUGCCAAAGGGUUGGACCACCACUGAGAAUAGAGAAGACACUGGAUUGCAUCAAGGUGUCAUGUGUGUGGGAAUUGGUCGGAAUCGACCUGACAG